Molecule: ribosomal RNA, 566 nt
Filed under: Podoscypha fulvonitens
Lineage: Eukaryota; Fungi; Basidiomycota; Agaricomycetes; Polyporales; Podoscyphaceae
Description: SSU rRNA
Rfam family: Bacterial small subunit ribosomal RNA
Source: RNAcentral
GAAUAUUAGUCAAUGCUCUCCUGAGUGAACUAGCUAACUGAAAUCAUUUGUGUGUCACAAGUGAUAACGUAAAGGAAAAUAAUGAUAUUACUUUACUAAUAGUGUCGUCCAAAACUGGUGCCAGAAGACUCGGUAAGGCCAGAGACGCAAACGUUAAUCCUCUUUAUCAGGCGUAAAGGGUUUGUAGGCUGCUUUUAAAGUUUUCAGACUUAGAAUAGUUAUUUUUAAUUCGAUGUUUCAAUGAUUUAUUUAUUGGAAUAUCUUUAAAAAUAUAAGUUUGGAGAUGAAUCAAAGCUAGAAUCAAAUAGAGGUUGUAAAUAGAAUACCUAGAGUAGGUCUGAUAUCUGUAAAUCCUAGGUAGAAUACUCAAAGCGAAGGCUUUCUUCCACUAAUGAUUGACGCUGAGAAACGAAGGUUAGGAUAGGAAAUAGGAUUAGAUACCCUAGUACCCCUCUCUGUCAACGAUGAAUGGUAGUUAUUAUUAUAUGAACAUAGUAGUAGCGAUGUUAACGCGAUAACCAUUCCGCCUUGUSAGUACAAUUGCAAAAUUGAAAACAAAAAAAUUA